Molecule: ribosomal RNA, 909 nt
Filed under: Lecidella achristotera
Lineage: Eukaryota; Fungi; Ascomycota; Lecanoromycetes; Lecanorales; Lecanoraceae
Description: SSU rRNA
Rfam family: Bacterial small subunit ribosomal RNA
Source: RNAcentral
AAUAGCCUAACGGCUGAACCAGCAACUUGGAGGAAUGUAUAGCAAUAGCUAAUUGCACCAAAGAAUAACUGAUGCAAUAUCGACUCUGUCGAAUAAAAUUCUAGGUAGAAUUAUGAUAAUGACAUUAUCUGCCUACAUGUCUUGACCAAAUUACGUGCCAGCAGUCGCGGUAAUACGUAGAAGACUAGUGUUAUUCAUCUUUAAUAGGUUUAAAGGGUACCUAGACGGUAAAUCAAGCCUGCGAGGGGACUAGUUUACUAGAGUUACUUGCGAGGGGGUAUUAAAGUACUAAUGGUGUAGAGAUGAAAUUCUGUCAUACCUCUUUUCGGAAGAAAAACUAUGGCACAGGUAUAGGCGAAAGCAUCCCCUUAUGUGAUAACUGACGUUGAAGGACGAAGGCUUUGUGUCGCGAACAGGAUUAGAUACCCCAGUAGUCAAAGCAGAAAAUGAUGAAUGUCAUAGAUUAGGCAUAUAAUAGUUUAUUCUAUAAAUGAAAGUGUAAGCAUUCCACCUCAAGAGUAAUUUGGCAACAUUGGAACUGAAAUCAUUAGACCGUUUCUGAAACCAGUAGUGAAGUAUGUUGUUUAAUUUGAUAAUCCGCAAAAAACCUUACCACAACUUGAAUAUUUAUGUUUACUUUUUUAUAAAAAAAAAAUAUAUUUACAAGCGUUGCACGGCUGUCUUCAGUUAAUGUCGUGAGAUUUUGGUUAGUUCCAUUAAAUUAACGUAAACCCUUGCUUUAUUUUUAUAUAAAGUAGUUCCCCGCUAGAUUGGAUAUGAUAACAGGGACUAAGACAAGUCAUCAUGGCCUGAAUAUUGUGGGCUAUAGACGUGCCACAUAAACCUUACAAAAGGAUGUGAAAUUGUGAAAUUAAGCUAAUCCCCCAAAAAUGGAUAUACACUAACAAU